UUAAGCGACUAAGCGUACACGGUGGAUGCCCUGGCAGUCAGAGGCGAUGAAGGACGUGCUAAUCUGCGAUAAGCGUCGGUAAGGUGAUAUGAACCGUUAUAACCGGCGAUUUCCGAAUGGGGAAACCCAGUGUGUUUCGACACACUAUCAUUAACUGAAUCCAUAGGUUAAUGAGGCGAACCGGGGGAACUGAAACAUCUAAGUACCCCGAGGAAAAGAAAUCAACCGAGAUUCCCCCAGUAGCGGCGAGCGAACGGGGAGCAGCCCAGAGCCUGAAUCAGUGUGUGUGUUAGUGGAAGCGUCUGGAAAGGCGCGCGAUACAGGGUGACAGCCCCGUACACAAAAAUGCACAUACUGUGAGCUCGAUGAGUAGGGCGGGACACGUGGUAUCCUGUCUGAAUAUGGGGGGACCAUCCUCCAAGGCUAAAUACUCCUGACUGACCGAUAGUGAACCAGUACCGUGAGGGAAAGGCGAAAAGAACCCCGGCGAGGGGAGUGAAAAAGAACCUGAAACCGUGUACGUACAAGCAGUGGGAGCCUCUUUUAUGGGGUGACUGCGUACCUUUUGUAUAAUGGGUCAGCGACUUAUAUUCUGUAGCAAGGUUAACCGAAUAGGGGAGCCGAAGGGAAACCGAGUCUUAACCGGGCGUUAAGUUGCAGGGUAUAGACCCGAAACCCGGUGAUCUAGCCAUGGGCAGGUUGAAGGUUGGGUAACACUAACUGGAGGACCGAACCGACUAAUGUUGAAAAAUUAGCGGAUGACUUGUGGCUGGGGGUGAAAGGCCAAUCAAACCGGGAGAUAGCUGGUUCUCCCCGAAAGCUAUUUAGGUAGCGCCUCGUGAAUUCAUCUCCGGGGGUAGAGCACUGUUUCGGCAAGGGGGUCAUCCCGACUUACCAACCCGAUGCAAACUGCGAAUACCGGAGAAUGUUAUCACGGGAGACACACGGCGGGUGCUAACGUCCGUCGUGAAGAGGGAAACAACCCAGACCGCCAGCUAAGGUCCCAAAGUCAUGGUUAAGUGGGAAACGAUGUGGGAAGGCCCAGACAGCCAGGAUGUUGGCUUAGAAGCAGCCAUCAUUUAAAGAAAGCGUAAUAGCUCACUGGUCGAGUCGGCCUGCGCGGAAGAUGUAACGGGGCUAAACAAUGCACCGAAGCUGCGGCAGCGACACUGUGUGUUGUUGGGUAGGGGAGCGUUCUGUAAGCCUGUGAAGGUGUACUGUAAGGUAUGCUGGAGGUAUCAGAAGUGCGAAUGCUGACAUAAGUAACGAUAAAGCGGGUGAAAAGCCCGCUCGCCGGAAGACCAAGGGUUCCUGUCCAACGUUAAUCGGGGCAGGGUGAGUCGACCCCUAAGGCGAGGCCGAAAGGCGUAGUCGAUGGGAAACAGGUUAAUAUUCCUGUACUUGGUGUUACUGCGAAGGGGGGACGGAGAAGGCUAUGUUGGCCGGGCGACGGUUGUCCCGGUUUAAGCGUGUAGGCUGGUUUUCCAGGCAAAUCCGGAAAAUCAAGGCUGAGGCGUGAUGACGAGGCACUACGGUGCUGAAGCAACAAAUGCCCUGCUUCCAGGAAAAGCCUCUAAGCAUCAGGUAACAUCAAAUCGUACCCCAAACCGACACAGGUGGUCAGGUAGAGAAUACCAAGGCGUUUGAGAGAACUCGGGUGAAGGAACUAGGCAAAAUGGUGCCGUAACUUCGGGAGAAGGCACGCUGAUAUGUAGGUGAAGUCCCUCGCGGAUGGAGCUGAAAUCAGUCGAAGAUACCAGCUGGCUGCAACUGUUUAUUAAAAACACAGCACUGUGCAAACACGAAAGUGGACGUAUACGGUGUGACGCCUGCCCGGUGCCGGAAGGUUAAUUGAUGGGGUCAGCGCAAGCGAAGCUCUUGAUCGAAGCCCCGGUAAACGGCGGCCGUAACUAUAACGGUCCUAAGGUAGCGAAAUUCCUUGUCGGGUAAGUUCCGACCUGCACGAAUGGCGUAAUGAUGGCCAGGCUGUCUCCACCCGAGACUCAGUGAAAUUGAACUCGCUGUGAAGAUGCAGUGUACCCGCGGCAAGACGGAAAGACCCCGUGAACCUUUACUAUAGCUUGACACUGAACAUUGAGCCUUGAUGUGUAGGAUAGGUGGGAGGCUUUGAAGUGUGGACGCCAGUCUGCAUGGAGCCGACCUUGAAAUACCACCCUUUAAUGUUUGAUGUUCUAACGUGGACCCGUGAUCCGGGUUGCGGACAGUGUCUGGUGGGUAGUUUGACUGGGGCGGUCUCCUCCUAAAGAGUAACGGAGGAGCACGAAGGUUGGCUAAUCCUGGUCGGACAUCAGGAGGUUAGUGCAAUGGCAUAAGCCAGCUUGACUGCGAGCGUGACGGCGCGAGCAGGUGCGAAAGCAGGUCAUAGUGAUCCGGUGGUUCUGAAUGGAAGGGCCAUCGCUCAACGGAUAAAAGGUACUCCGGGGAUAACAGGCUGAUACCGCCCAAGAGUUCAUAUCGACGGCGGUGUUUGGCACCUCGAUGUCGGCUCAUCACAUCCUGGGGCUGAAGUAGGUCCCAAGGGUAUGGCUGUUCGCCAUUUAAAGUGGUACGCGAGCUGGGUUUAGAACGUCGUGAGACAGUUCGGUCCCUAUCUGCCGUGGGCGCUGGAGAACUGAGGGGGGCUGCUCCUAGUACGAGAGGACCGGAGUGGACGCAUCACUGGUGUUCGGGUUGUCAUGCCAAUGGCACUGCCCGGUAGCUAAAUGCGGAAGAGAUAAGUGCUGAAAGCAUCUAAGCACGAAACUUGCCCCGAGAUGAGUUCUCCCUGACCCUUUAAGGGUCCUGAAGGAACGUUGAAGACGACGACGUUGAUAGGCCGGGUGUGUAAGCGCAGCGAUGCGUUGAGCUAACCGGUACUAAUGAACCGUGAGGCUUAACCU
RNAcentral lists this ribosomal RNA (2900 nucleotides) under Escherichia coli. RNAcentral describes it as "23S ribosomal RNA". It matches the Rfam family "Bacterial large subunit ribosomal RNA". The record is from RNAcentral. Lineage: Bacteria; Pseudomonadati; Pseudomonadota; Gammaproteobacteria; Enterobacterales; Enterobacteriaceae.